CCACUCCCAGAAAACGAAGGCAUGUACUGUCCCGAGCAAGGUAACGAAACCAAACAGUCGACAUGCUACGUCGGUGGUGUUUGUCCUAAAGACUGUCCGGUGUUCCGGUGGGGGUCAAACUGUGAGCAGUCAUGCGUGAACUGUGACCCCGACUGCGACAAGUUUCUGGGCACGUGCACCAAGUGUCAGAGUGGCUUUAAAUACCCGGGGGCGGGCUGUAGUCAACCAUGUGAGGCUAUGGAGUUCGGCCCGAACUGUAUCGGCAAGUGUAUGGAGAAGUGUGGGGCGGACUGUAUAGAGAGGAGUCACGGGGAGUGUGCU
Long non-coding RNA from Physella acuta, 321 nucleotides. RefSeq lists it as uncharacterized. NCBI's taxonomy places the organism in Eukaryota, Metazoa, Mollusca, Gastropoda, Physidae. The record is from RefSeq and is a predicted model, not a curated record.